CCUAAUUUCUACUCGGGUGGAAUAUUUAUUAAGGUCUGUCAUAUUUCCUACCUACACCCCCCGCCCCACACAUUCAAUGUCCAUUUCUAAAUCCAGUCAGUUGCUUUUUGUUGGAGAUUGAGGCUAAAAACCUAGGUCCCUGAUUGCCAGCCGUAAAUCACAGUUAAUUGGUUCUGUCUGAAAUAAUGAUUUGGAUCCUGUAUGACUAACAGAAAGGUAUGGAACACCUCAAACCCUCCAGUCUACAGAAGGCCCUCCCCGUGUGCAAUCUCUCACAAAGUCCUUGUUACUCUUCACUGCAGUCUUUACUCUUUGAAGUUUGCGUCUUUGUCAUUUUCAUUGUCUGUCUCACUUAACUCACAUGCAACUUACCUUCUGGAAGGUGAGGACGAACAGCACACUAGUGGUACUGAAAGUCCCUCUGAGAGGUUUGAAGGGCCUCCUUCAGCUCUCAGGUUAUAUUCAAGGUGCAUGGAUUAUCACUGAAUAUUAGGUGGAGAGGAAUGUUUUACCUUAAAACCAAACAAAUGGAAUAACCAUCUGUUGUACUGAUGGGAAUGAUUGAGAAAGUUUACCAGGGAAAGUUAUAUUAUACCAGAGUCAUGCUGAGUUGAUUGUAGUAUCUUACAGUUUUACACCAUAUACUUUAUAUAACUGUUUCAUAC
Molecule: long non-coding RNA, 665 nt
Filed under: Bos taurus (domestic cattle)
Lineage: Eukaryota; Metazoa; Chordata; Mammalia; Artiodactyla; Bovidae
Description: long non-coding RNA NONBTAT007474
Source: RNAcentral